GGAAAAGAUGAGAAUGGUGGCAUUAGCGCUGGUGGCAAUAGCCCGUAGGUUGGCAAAAAGUAAUGGUUGAAGGUAAUAGCGCCUUGACCCCAAAAAAGGUAAUAGCGCUUAUUGGAGAAGUUACUAUCAUUGUGUUCGAGUGCCUUGCUUUUUGAGAUGGUUUGGCCUACGCUAUUCAUAAAGAUUGGCGAAUAGGAAUGAUUAAAGGUCAUUCUAAGCGUAUAAUGCUGUGUAGACUAGGCUGCUUAUUCAGGAUAUUAGACCAUCUUCAACUAUUAGGUGGAAAUCGAAAAUUUCGGUUUUGAAUCCAAAAUUCUUCUCCAACCGCUGUAUUUUGGGGAUGAAAUUUGGGACGGAAUUCCAGUCUAAGUUUUGCAGCCCAUGUGAAGAGGAAAAAGAGCUGGGUCCCGCAUAACAACAAAGUUGUCUGGACAGCAGCUUUUUUGUGCGACAGCUAGUAGUUUCAGUGAAGAGAGUUGUUGGAAUCCAAAGGCUAAAUUUCAAAAGCUGGGUUUUUAUUUUAUUUUAUGCAAAUGCUAUAUCCAAAUUAACGAUCAAUAUUAAUUUUAGGCAAUUUGAAAGGUAAAAUUUCACAUUGAAAGGUCAAAAUAAUAUUUAUAAUUAAUCUAAAUCAGAUCUAACCCCAAAAUUUAUUCCAAACUCUAUAAAUAGCCAUUCAUUUGGUAAAUAAUCCACCAAAAAUCAUUUUUUCCCUUUAUCCCUUUUAUAUUUUUUCAUUUUACUUUCAUUCUUGUUGAGAAUGGCCCCAAAACCACAAAGAGGUGUGAAUUGGAAACCACAAGAAGAUGAGGCAUUGUGCAAAGGGUGUGUUUCUAUUUCUGAAGAUGGGGCUAUUGACACCAAUCAAUCAAAUGACUCAUUUUGGUUGCGUGUGUACCAAAAGUUUUUGGAAAAUGAUCCGAGCAUGAGCAGAGCCACGGUACAAUCAUCGCAAGCUAUUGCUUCUCGGUUCAAAAUCAUCAACCAACAAUGUUCUCUAUGGAAGACAUGUAUGACAAAGGCCAAUGCAAGACAUGUGAGUGGCUCCAAUCUUGAAGAUGUGGUGAGUACCCAUUUUAUUCAAUGCAUAAAUUUAUAAUUCUAAUUCUUUUCAAUUAUUAAGUUGAUUUUUAUUUUAUUUAGUGGGUAGGAUAUGAAUGCAAAAGCACUUUUCUUGAAUGAUAAUAAACCUUCGAAUAGGCCUUUCAAGUUGUAUCAUGCUUGACAAAUCUUAAAAGAUUGCCCAAAAUGGAACGACCUAUGUGAAUCUUCCACACAAACAUUCAAAGAUUCUUCUCAUAGUGGCAAUAUACUCAAUUUGGAGGAAGAUGAGGAUGAUGUGGUCAUGCCCACUCCAAUGCCGUUGGGAAGAGAUAAACAGAAGGAUGAAAAAAAAGAAAAAAGGGAAAUGUGUUGAAGGUUAUCUCAACCAAAGUGGAAAGUUCUUGUCUAAAUUGGUUUAACAAGGAAAUGAUGCAAAGGAGGAUAUAGGAGGCGAAAGUUAGAGCUCCUAUAAGAACAACAUGCCUAUCAAAUCCAACAAGAUAAGGAGGCAAAUGAACAGAGGAUAAUGUCCAUGGACAUAUCCAAAUUUACUCUAAGAAAGAAGAAAUACUGGGGGAAUAAGCAAAACAAAAUUAUUGAGUCCCAGAUGAAUACAAUUUCCCCCUACAAUCCAGAAGACAACUCUGGAGCAGCUCCAGGGACUAUAGAUUGGGAUGACGUAGAUGCUGUGAUCGCAUUGCAAGUUACCAAAUAAGUCACGUGGUUCCAUUGUUUUUAAUAUAAAUCGUG
This 1794-nucleotide long non-coding RNA is filed under the name Prunus dulcis (almond). RNAcentral's name for it is "sRNA ncRNA". The record is from RNAcentral. Lineage: Eukaryota; Viridiplantae; Streptophyta; Magnoliopsida; Rosales; Rosaceae.